GACGAACGCUGGCGGCGUGCUUAACACAUGCAAGUCGAACGGAAAGGCCCUGCUUUUGUGGGGUGCUCGAGUGGCGAACGGGUGAGUAACACGUGAGUAACCUGCCCUUGACUUUGGGAUAACUUCAGGAAACUGGGGCUAAUACCGGAUAGGAGCUCCUGCUGCAUGGUGGGGGUUGGAAAGUUUCGGCGGUUGGGGAUGGACUCGCGGCUUAUCAGCUUGUUGGUGGGGUAGUGGCUUACCAAGGCUUUGACGGGUAGCCGGCCUGAGAGGGUGACCGGCAACAUGGGGAAUGAGAUACGGCCCAGACUCCUACGGGAGGCAGCAGUGGGGAAUAUUGCACAAUGGGCGGAAGCCUGAUGCAGCAACGCCGCGUGCGGGAUGACGGCCUUCGGGUUGUAAACCGCUUUCGCAUGUGACGAAGAGUGAGUGACGGUAAUGGGUAAAGAAGCACCGGCUAACUACGUG
This 468-nucleotide ribosomal RNA is filed under the name uncultured bacterium. RNAcentral's name for it is "partial 16S ribosomal RNA". It matches the Rfam family "Bacterial small subunit ribosomal RNA", at positions 28 to 507 of the family's 1533-position model. The record is from RNAcentral.